RNAcentral lists this small RNA (313 nucleotides) under Salmonella bongori. Its description in RNAcentral is "Salmonella enterica sRNA STnc170". Lineage: Bacteria; Pseudomonadati; Pseudomonadota; Gammaproteobacteria; Enterobacterales; Enterobacteriaceae. The record is from RNAcentral.
UUCUCUUUUUUUAUAAAAAUUUUGUUACUUUUACAUUUAUUUUUAAAUUAGCAUUAUGAAAAAGCCCAACUAUCCAAAUAGUUUCCGGUCUUACCUUUCAUAUUUCCAAUGGCUAAUUAUCACCCAACGUAAAAGAUGAUUUUUUAUGACUACUUAUAAGGGGUAACGAUUUCCUGCCGGCAUGAACUCCUGAUCAAAGCAACAGCAGAAAGAAAAAGGCGGCACUGAAUUUUCAUAUUUUGCGCCAUACCGUUACAAACAAAUACGAUAUUUUUGAUUGCGCCAUCAACUUUUCGGGUUAAUCCUGUAAAAG